AUGGCUUCUGAUACGGCCAAAUAUCAGCAGGUAAUUCUGGGCAGUUAUUAUCCUUGGACUUGAUUAAAAUACAAGGAAGAACCCAGACUGCCGGCUGGUAUCAGGCCGUGAGAAUGC
Non-coding RNA from Daphnia pulex (common water flea), 117 nucleotides. NCBI's taxonomy places the organism in Eukaryota, Metazoa, Arthropoda, Branchiopoda, Diplostraca, Daphniidae. The record is from Rfam.